CCAGGCUGAGCUCCCCUGGCUGCUCCUUAUCAGUCUUGUGCUCCACACCCUUCCUCAGCUCAGUUGCCAUUCUCUAGACAUACUCCAGCACCUGAAUGUCUUUCUUGGAGUUGAGGGACCCAAAACUCCACGCAGGAUUCAAGGUCAACCACGACUAAACAGAUCCUCCUGUAGAUGUGUGAGCUGUGCCCUGCAGAACAGAAAGCUGAAGACUGGUGGACUGAGAUGCUGAGCCUCCAGAACCCCAUCUUGGAAAUAGGAGCCACAAAACCCUUUUAAGCUUCAAACCAGGAUGUAGGUGACUUCUGUGUCUGUAGAAAUCUGCUCCAAACUGGCCCUCACCUUAGAGCAUUAAGUAGCAGGGAUGUUUAUACAAGUACAAAGGAAAUUAGACUUCAUCUUUUGUGCUCAGUCUAAAGCUCAGUGAGACCCACCUACCAGUAAAACCAAUGGAAAGACUUCAAAGGACUUUACAGGAUUUGUCUGAGACCUGACCAAUCCAGGAAAAAAAAAAGAUAUAUCAGUAAAUCACAAUGCUUUUAAUGCUCCCAGCCAAUGUUAAAUAAUCCUAUAAAAGAGAGUAACCUAUGGGAUCUCUCCAUGCUUUUAUACUUUAUCAAAAUUAAUGAGAGAUGCAGAUUAAGGUUGAAUUGAAACAUUGCUGCUUAUAGCCAGGAGAAUACAGGAUAGGACACGGUGUAAUUGUUUUAAACUAAAACAUUGUCUAUUCAGACGAGAUAUAAGGAAUUAUUUUUUAUAAGGAAGGUGGUGACACACUGGCACAGCUUGCCCAGGGCAGCUACAGAUGCCUCAGCCCUGAAAACAUUCAAGGUGAGGUUGAUCAGGUCUUGGUACAAGCUUGUCUAGUUGAAGAUGUCUGCUCAUUGUAGGGGGGCUAAACUAGAUGAACUUUAAAGCUCCUUUCUAACACAAACUAUUCUGUGACUCUAUGUAGAGUCAUCAGAGCAGCUGAACAAGGCUGUACCACCAGGAAACCACACAGAGCUGAGACAGCUUGGGAGCUUCCAUUGCUCUAUGGAAGAGUUCCACCUCACCCUUCAAAAUUCUGAGGAUAACUCAAAAAAAUCUGAGCUGCUGCUAUGGUUUUCAGGACAUUCCCAUAAACCAGAGCAAUAGCUUCAGUUACAGAACAGAAAUCUGCCAACAGCACGUCUACAUUCCUGAAGGCCCAUCUGUGGAAAAUCAUGCCUCAAGUAGAAAUAUAAACCAGCCACUAAUUCAAAUAAUGUGUGAGAAAGGGGAACUGCCUUGUGUUUCUUUUUAGUGGUCUCCUUUUCUUUCUGUAUCUUCUGGUUAGAUAUUAUGCUUUUAUGUUUAUACUGCCUAUAUUUUUGACCACUUCCAAAGAGCAGCAGUAAGGAAGCAUACAGCACAAACUUAGGAUUAAUUCAAUAAUUAGGAACAUUAAUAUUAUGUUACUGGGCAAGUGUUUCUGCCUUUUCUCCCUCUAGCACUCAGUUUCCUUAUGCCAUAGGGAUGUCAACUGAUGGCAAAGUAACAAAAAUAAACCCAGGCUGAUGAAUUUAUUGCUUAUGCAUCUCUUCCUAGCUGUCAUCCUCAUAAUAUUUUACAGCCUCCAGAAGUAGUCUCCACACUGCAGCUGAGCAUGGUUGCUGCACCACAGUGAGGUGCAGGGGCCAUGUCCUGGCCCAGUCCAAGAGGGUCUCUCCUGCACCCUGGAAUGUCAGCAGGGAUGGCAUCCACCAGCCAGAGACCCUAAUCACACUGCACACCCAACUCCAGUUCCUCUGGCAGCAAGGCCUGGCACUGUGGUAGAAAAUAAGGAAAAAGGGGGGAUUUGGCAUCAUCUCAUGGAAGGUUUUUGAGAAAUCUGUGGUUGAGCUGUGAUUUGAGAUGUCCUUAAAUAUUCCAAAUUAAAUACUUUGCGGAAUUUUUCUUUUUUUUUACACUAAUAACAAGCAAUUACAUUGUUUAAAUGAUUUUUAAACACUUGGCUUACGUUUCAGGAUCUUUGUUGCUGCUUCAGGAUUUUUUAUUUGUUUUCUUAACUAAAGCAGCAAUUAGGUUAUUUCUAUUUUCAUUUCCAGAAUGCUUAUCCCACACCCUGAAGCACCCAGAACUUUUCUGUGCCUGAUACUGCUGUAACUUGCUUUUGCUCUCCUGAUUUCACAGGUACUUUCAAGUCACCCUGAAAACAUUUCUGUUCAUGCUAAAUUUUGCAAACUCUCUGCAAGUCAGUCUGAGGCUGCACAUAAGUGAAUUUUCAGUUCAAAGGUAUAUGGCAUAUUUCUGCUGACCUCUGUCAGGGCUUUCCUUGUCUCCAGCCUCCUUCCCCAUACCUGCUGUAAAAACAGCUUUAAAAUCUCUUUUUUCUGGAUAUUUUAAAUCCUCCAAGAUGCUGGAGCAAGGUUCCAAAGGGUUAAGAUGGAGGAGGCCCCCAGAAGGCUCAUUCUGCAGUCUCAAUGACCGAAAGCUUUUGCCUUUUCAAAUAUAUUUAACCAAAUAAAGUGAAUAGAGGAUAUGCAAAUGCCUUUUCCAAAAGGAAACACAGCCCUGAAUUGUUGUUGGCAGGUCAGAGCAUCACACCACCCUCAGCAGCCUCUCAGCUGCAGGAGAUUCAGGCUAGAGGAGGCGGUGGCACAAAAAGACUCUUUUCAGGCAGAAAGAAAGCAGGACUUGGGUAUUCCAAGGAGACAGAGGGAGGAGGUCACUGGGGAUGGCUCCCCCGGCACCUCAAAACCCUGGUUCUCUGUGAAGGUGAUGAGGCCCUGGCACAGAUUGUCCAGAGAAGCUGUGGCUGCCCCAUCCCUAGAAGUGUUUAAGGCCAGGUUGGACGGGUCUUGGGGCAACCUGGUUUAGUGGCAGGUGUCCCUGCCCUGCAGUAACAUGAGUGGGGUGCACAAGGGACACCCGCAGUGAAAAAAGGUUCAGGGGACAUCAGGACAUUGGCACAACUUGGGUGACUUUCACAAGCUGGUGCUCACAGACUAUCCACAAGCUGCUCUCAGCUCCAAGGAGCUAUUUCAACGUUUGGUAGUGUGUUGUUUUGGGCUAGAAAUAUACUUUAUCAGGCAUUUCACAUCAAGAUUUGGGUUGGAAAAAGCAGACCUCAUGUCCUGAUUUAAAGGACAGGUGUCUGCCAAGGAAGGCAGGAGCCUCCCUUGGAAUGGAAAAUAUUACCCCCUUCCCUCCAAAUUAUUGUAACUUUGAGAAUAUGGGGCUUUCAGGCAAAGAUAUGUGAAAAGCAGUAACAGUUCUUCACUAAUAUGUAUGUGUAUAACAAGGCAAAGAAAGCACAAGAAGGACAAACAACAGCAGAACCAGCAGCCCUCUCUUGGCUGUCUCCCCUCUCCCCGGGUGCAGUUCCGGGCACGGCCGGCAGGGGCGCUGCUGGCUCCCGGCCGGGCAGGGCGGGUGCGAUGAUUCCCCCGCGCCUGCAGGGGCGCUGUGGCGCAGCUCGGCCGCCUCGCUGCGUGUGGGUAAUGGUGGGCAGGCCGGCAGGAAAGAGGGGAAAGGGAUUUCCUUUGCAAAGCCCAUGGGGCAGCCGGUCCCGGUGCCCCUCCGGAUGGCGGAACGGGCAGCAGGAGGAACCUCGGAGCAGAAGCUGGAAUGGCAGAGGAGAUAUAACAUCACUCUUAAGGAGAUGGGCUUAACAUAGCAGAAGUCUGGGAGUAGCCCAAAGAUACCCAGAAAGAUAAAAGGUCAUCAAGGAAACACCUCUAUGAAUAUCUACCCCCAGAUGCCACCUCUUGCAAAGUUGAAGACAUCUGGUCCAGAAAGCACUGGUAAGAAAAUCAAAGAAUGAAGAUCUAAUUAACAUUGGAGGGCAAGAAAUUCGGAUCCAAUGGAAAACUGAGUACUAGGGUUGCUCAACUAGAGUUUGAAGACCAAUGAACUUUGAAACAGUGCAUCUCUAUGGGUUUUGACUGUAUAAAGUUUGGGGGGGAAUUCCUGCAAAAGCAUGUGUCAUGGAGUGUUUCUCUCUGCACACCUGGGCUAUGUGUGGAUGAGAUUAUUUCAGUGGUAUAUUCUUGCAAGAGUAAAGUAAUGCCUUGACUCUCUAGCCUUAAAAAUUUUGUUGGAGGGGUUUUCCUUUUCCUGCAGUUAUGGUGACAGAACUCUGUUGGUGGCGAAUUCUUCCCACAGCAACCACAGCCCAGCCAUCUCCCCUCUGAUCCAAGAGUGAGAAGCUGAAUCCAGCCCCUCACCCCCCAGCCAAAAUCUCACAGGAUCUCUGCCCUUCCCAGGAGAAACCCCUCAGCUAAGAGAGUAGCCAGCUGCCUCUUCCUCACUCCUCCUCCCAUCCACAUCUUUUGUGCUCUUAAGUACCGGUUGUUAUUAUCUCUUGGGCAUCAAAGGGGAUAAAAUUCCCUGAGAGAAAGAAAAAAAAAAAAA
Molecule: long non-coding RNA, 4377 nt
Organism: Parus major (Great Tit)
Lineage: Eukaryota; Metazoa; Chordata; Aves; Passeriformes; Paridae
Exons: 3
Source: RefSeq, a predicted model, not a curated record